This 446-nucleotide ribosomal RNA is filed under the name uncultured bacterium. RNAcentral describes it as "partial 16S ribosomal RNA". It matches the Rfam family "Bacterial small subunit ribosomal RNA", at positions 338 to 795 of the family's 1533-position model. The record is from RNAcentral.
CCUACGGGUGGCUACAGUCGAGAAUCAUUCACAAUGGGGGAAACCCUGAUGGUGCGACGCCGCGUGGGGGAAUGAAGGUCUUCGGAUUGUAAACCCCUGUCAUGUGGGAGCAAAUUAAAAAGAUAGUACCCCAAGAGGAAGACACUGCUAACUCUGUGCCAGCAGCCGCGGUAAUACAGAGGUCUCAAGCGUUGUUCGGAAUCACUGGGCGUAAAGCGUUCGUAGGCGGAUUCGUAAGUCUUGUGUGAAAGGUGCGGGCUCAACCCGCGGACGGCACAUGAUACUGCGAGACUAGAGUAAUGGAGGGGGAACCGGAAUUCUCGGUGUAGCAGUGAAAUGCGUAGAUAUCGAGAGGAACACUCGUGGCGAAGGCAGGUUCCUGGACAUUAACUGACGCUGAGGCACGAAGGCCAGGGGAGCGAAAGGGAUUAGAUACCCCUGUAGUC